Molecule: ribosomal RNA, 258 nt
Filed under: Triticum aestivum (bread wheat)
Lineage: Eukaryota; Viridiplantae; Streptophyta; Magnoliopsida; Poales; Poaceae
Description: partial small subunit ribosomal RNA
Source: RNAcentral
AUGGUAAAACUUUGUUUAAAACGAUGUGGUAGAAAGCAACAUGUUGUCUAUUGAAUCGUUGCAAUUGAUGUUUGAUCUCGAAGAGAAAGAAGAGAUCUUUGAAAAGUAGGUUUUUAUGAUCCGAUAAAGAAUCAAACUUGUUUAAAUAUUCCAGCUAUUAUCUAUUUCCUGGAAAAGGGUGCUCAACCAACAAGAACUGUUUAUGAUAUUUUAAGGAAGGCAGAAUUCUUUAAAGAAAAAGAAAGAACUUUGAGUUAA